CAGUAGCCGCGGUAAUGCGGAGGGGGCUAGCGUUGUUUGGAAUUACUGGGCGUAAAGCGCACGUAGGCGGCUUGGUAAGUUAGAGGUGAAAGCCUGGAGCUCAACUCCAGAAUUGCCUUUAAGACUGCCGAGCUAGCAGGUGAGAGAGGUAAGUGGAAUUCCGAGUGUAGAGGUGAAAUUCGUAGAUAUUCGGAAGAACACCAGUGGUGAAGGCGGCUUACUGGCUCAUACUGGACGCUGAGGCGCGAAAGCGUGGGGAGCAAACAGGAUUAGAUACCCCCGUAGUCCCUGUCUCUUAUAC
This 301-nucleotide ribosomal RNA is filed under the name uncultured bacterium. RNAcentral describes it as "partial 16S ribosomal RNA". It matches the Rfam family "Bacterial small subunit ribosomal RNA", at positions 509 to 807 of the family's 1533-position model. The record is from RNAcentral.